CAGGAAGGAAAGGGAUCUGCACAACUAAGGCAUCGUCUCUAUGCUAUGGAAUUAAUGGAACCCUCCAUCCUAGACUCGCUUCUUCAGACACUAAAUAAGAGUUUUUGGGCUCCCAUUGCUGCCACUGUGCCUUCUGCCACCAAAGGAUUGCUUAGGAGCUGAGAUGCAAGAGAAUGGAGAAAUGGAGAAAAAAAUGGAGAAAAAUAUUCCCACGUUUUGCUAGCAUUAGGAGAGCACUUAUUCACUCUUCAAGUCAGAAACAAAGAGCUUCCUGGAUCUUUCUCUGUGUUGGUGUCACCUCCCAUGUUGCAGGUUGUGCUGAGUCCAGGAAUCACUGGAAUGGGAAAAAAUCAAACAAACAAACAAACAAACAUAAAUUCGCCAUUGGCUUAGUGGCA
Long non-coding RNA from Suricata suricatta (meerkat), 398 nucleotides. RefSeq lists it as uncharacterized. The transcript is spliced from 2 exons. NCBI's taxonomy places the organism in Eukaryota, Metazoa, Chordata, Mammalia, Carnivora, Herpestidae. The record is from RefSeq and is a predicted model, not a curated record.